Molecule: ribosomal RNA, 781 nt
Filed under: Staphylococcus sp.
Lineage: Bacteria; Bacillati; Bacillota; Bacilli; Caryophanales; Staphylococcaceae
Also listed under: 1 other name
Description: bacterial SSU rRNA
Rfam family: Bacterial small subunit ribosomal RNA
Source: RNAcentral
GUCGAGCGAACAGAUAAGGAGCUUGCUCCUUUGACGUUAGCGGCGGACGGGUGAGUAACACGUGGAUAACCUACCUAUAAGACUGGGAUAACUUCGGGAAACCGGAGCUAAUACCGGAUAACAUAUUGAACCGCAUGGUUCAAUAGUGAAAGGCGGCUUUGCUGUCACUUAUAGAUGGAUCCGCGCCGUAUUAGCUAGUUGGUAAGGUAACGGCUUACCAAGGCAACGAUACGUAGCCGACCUGAGAGGGUGAUCGGCCACACUGGAACUGAGACACGGUCCAGACUCCUACGGGAGGCAGCAGUAGGGAAUCUUCCGCAAUGGGCGAAAGCCUGACGGAGCAACGCCGCGUGAGUGAUGAAGGUCUUCGGAUCGUAAAACUCUGUUAUCAGGGAAGAACAAAUGUGUAAGUAACUGUGCACAUCUUGACGGUACCUGAUCAGAAAGCCACGGCUAACUACGUGCCAGCAGCCGCGGUAAUACGUAGGUGGCAAGCGUUAUCCGGAAUUAUUGGGCGUAAAGCGCGCGUAGGCGGUUUUUUAAGUCUGAUGUGAAAGCCCACGGCUCAACCGUGGAGGGUCAUUGGAAACUGGAAAACUUGAGUGCAGAAGAGGAAAGUGGAAUUCCAUGUGUAGCGGUGAAAUGCGCAGAGAUAUGGAGGAACACCAGUGGCGAAGGCGACUUUUCUGGUCUGUAACUGACGCUGAUGUGCGAAAGCGUGGGGAUCAAACAGGAUUAGAUACCCCUGGUAGUCCACGCCGUAAACGAUGAGUGCUAAGUG